Molecule: transfer RNA, 75 nt
Filed under: Microcaldota archaeon
Lineage: Archaea; Nanobdellati; Microcaldota
Description: tRNA-Glu
Rfam family: tRNA
About the family: Transfer RNA (tRNA) molecules are approximately 80 nucleotides in length.
Source: RNAcentral
GCUCCGUUCGUCUAGCUCGGUCCAGGACGCUGGCCUUUCAAGCCAGCAACUCGGGUUCAAAUCCCGGACGGAGCA